UCUGUGAAAAAUGUGGAAAAC
This 21-nucleotide non-coding RNA is filed under the name Caenorhabditis elegans. The record is from RNAcentral. Lineage: Eukaryota; Metazoa; Nematoda; Chromadorea; Rhabditida; Rhabditidae.